This 225-nucleotide long non-coding RNA is filed under the name Lathyrus oleraceus (garden pea). RNAcentral's name for it is "Pisum sativum (pea) long non-coding RNA (PSAT_LNC040227)". Lineage: Eukaryota; Viridiplantae; Streptophyta; Magnoliopsida; Fabales; Fabaceae. The record is from RNAcentral.
GGGAGUCCCUCGGAUAGGGGAGAGUCCCUUAGUUGAACGCAUUUAUAUAUAAAGGGCAAGUCCCUCAACUAGGGGAGAAUCCCUCAGCUGAAGGCGUUUAAAAAGGGUGAAUGGAUUAUGAUAGAACAUUCAUACUUUUCUUUUUCUUUUUCUUUUUCUUUUUGUAGCAAUUUUUACAAUCCUUUGGUUUAAACGACUUUGUGAGGGUCACCUAUACCGGAGUUG